GAUUUCUGGCUUGAUGUGCCUGGCCCGCCACGGUUACGUGUGUGAGUGCCGGGUCACUAUCUGCCAUCCUUCGUUACUAUCUGUCACUGCCCUUUAUUGGGUGGCUGAUAUAGAUGGUACGAUCCUUUACUUUGAAAAAAUUAGAGUGUUUCAAGCAGGCAGUGAGGCUAUGAAUACAUUAGCAUGGAAUAAUACGAUAGGACUUUGGUCUUAUUUUGUUGGUUUUGCGAGACUGAAGUAAUGAUUGAUAGGGAUAGUUGGGGGUGCUAGUAUUCAGUGGCCAGAGGUGAAAUUCUUGGAUUCACUGAAGACUAACUUAUGCGAAAGCAUU
RNAcentral lists this ribosomal RNA (331 nucleotides) under uncultured Glissomonadida. RNAcentral's name for it is "bacterial SSU rRNA". The stretch from base 54 to 331 matches the Rfam family "Eukaryotic small subunit ribosomal RNA", at positions 679 to 955 of the family's 1831-position model. Lineage: Eukaryota; Cercozoa; Glissomonadida. The record is from RNAcentral.